RNAcentral lists this ribosomal RNA (498 nucleotides) under uncultured bacterium. RNAcentral's name for it is "SSU rRNA". It matches the Rfam family "Bacterial small subunit ribosomal RNA", at positions 26 to 518 of the family's 1533-position model. The record is from RNAcentral.
AGGACGAACGCUGGCGGCGUGCCUAACACAUGCAAGUGGAGCGACGAACCAGGCUUCGGCCUGGGGCAAAGCCGCGAACGGGUGAGUAACACGUGGGUAACCUGCCCUGAUGAUUGGGACAACCCGAGGAAACUCGGGCUAAUACCAAAUGUGACCUCCGGCCAUAAGGCCGCUGGGGAAAGGAAGCUUCGGCCUCCGCAUCGGGAUGGGCCCGCGGCCCAUUAGCUUGUUGGUGAGGUAACGGCCCACCAAGGCAGCGACGGGUAGCUGGUCUGAGAGGAUGGCCAGCCACAUUGGGACUGCGACACGGCCCAGACUCCUACGGGAGGCAGCAGUGGGGAAUAUUGCGCAAUGGACGAAAGUCUGACGCAGCGACGCCGCGUGUGGGAUGAAGCCUUUCGGGGUGUAAACCACUGUUGCCCGGGACGAAACUCCUCUUUCGAGAGGAUUGACGGUACCGGGUGAGGAAGCACCGGCUAACUCUGUGCCAGCAGCCGC